GACGAACGCUGGCGGCGUGCCUAAUACAUGCAAGUCGAACGCAUUUUCUUUCACCGUAGCUUGCUACACCGAAAGAAAAUGAGUGGCGAACGGGUGAGUAACACGUGGGUAACCUGCCCAUCAGCGGGGGAUAACACUUGGAAACAGGUGCUAAUACCGCAUAAUUCCAUUUACCGCAUGGUAGAUGGGUGAAAGGCGCUUUUGCGUCACUGAUGGAUGGACCCGCGGUGCAUUAGCUAGUUGGUGGGGUAACGGCCUACCAAGGCUGCGAUGCAUAGCCGACCUGAGAGGGGGAUCGGCCACACUGGGACUGAGACACGGCCCAGACUCCUACGGGAGGCAGCAGUAGGGAAUCUUCGGCAAUGGACGCAAGUCUGACCGAGCAACGCCGCGUGAGUGAAGAAGGUUUUCGGAUCGUAAAACUCUGUUGUUAGAGAAGAACAAGGAUGAGAGUGGAAAGUUCAUCCCUUGACGGUAUCUAACCAGAAAGCCACGGCUAACUACGUG
This 507-nucleotide ribosomal RNA is filed under the name uncultured bacterium. RNAcentral's name for it is "partial 16S ribosomal RNA". It matches the Rfam family "Bacterial small subunit ribosomal RNA", at positions 28 to 507 of the family's 1533-position model. The record is from RNAcentral.